This is a long non-coding RNA of Gadus morhua (Atlantic cod), 1013 nucleotides long. RefSeq lists it as uncharacterized. Lineage: Eukaryota; Metazoa; Chordata; Actinopteri; Gadiformes; Gadidae. The transcript has 4 exons. The record is from RefSeq and is a predicted model, not a curated record.
UGUGCAUGAACACUUCCGGCGCACUUCCACCAUGGCUGAAACAAAGGCGAGAUGUCACUGCUCUCUGUUCCACUUUGUACAUCUAACAAACACCAACCCUACUUAAGUUUUCAUGGAUUCCCGACUGAAAUGAGUCUAAGGAAGAAGUGGAUUCAAGCGGUUCGCCGGGAUGAAGGGCCAAACUUUAAAAUAAAACAAGGUAGCAUGUUUGUUUGUAGCCGGCACUUUAGUGAAUCAGACUACAAACGCUACAGCUAGCAACCAACCGGGGUCACACCAAGCGACUGAAAAUCGGGUCUGUACCCUCCCGUUUCCAGUGGAACAACUGGGGACUGCCAAGAAGGGGGUCUGUUUAUAAAAGAGCAUCAACUCGCUUAGGCCUUGACGUUCACCCAUCCCUUCCUCUGGAGCAACCGCUGCCCUGUGAAUAAGAGCCGAUGGAGGAGAUCGCAGCUUCGGUGGUGAUGACAGAACAUGAUUUCGGUUCUGCUCCUAAACCAGGUGCACUGGAUGCUGCUGCUAUAAACAUACAGCAAUUGGAAGAAACAGUCAAGGCGCUGAUGAGAGCUGUCACAGCUGAAAGUGGUUCAAGUGCAUUUUCACAGAUUCUGUGUCUCAGACGCGGACAUCCUUUUUUACACCAGAUUCACGUCAAGAGAUGUUUUUUGUGACUUCUGGGAGGUUAUUGAACCAUCUGCCUCCAAGUUGGUUUAUUGGUCGAAAGCUCAGAAAAAGAAACAAACAUUUGAACCCAUUUCUCCCAGUCCAACGUGUAGACUGCAACUGGUUGAGUUUUUUCUCUUCUGCUGCCGGGUUGCUGCAGGCCUGCAAGAGAAGGUGCUGGCUGACAUGUUUCAGAGCUGACUGAACGAAGUGGACUGCUGGAUUUACUGGAGCCAGGAGAUGGCUGCAUGGCAGACAAGGGUUUCACCAUCGAGAAGCCACUAGCUGAUCGUGGGGCAACGCUGAUUAUACCACCCUUCAAGAUGACAGUUCACUGAAGAGGAUGCUCU